Mya arenaria is the source of this 181-nucleotide long non-coding RNA. RefSeq lists it as uncharacterized. Lineage: Eukaryota; Metazoa; Mollusca; Bivalvia; Myida; Myidae. The transcript is spliced from 3 exons. The record is from RefSeq and is a predicted model, not a curated record.
CAUUCAGCAGAGAUUGAUGCAUCAAGCUUUGACCAGUGCCUGGCAGCUGCUGUUGAACCAGUCAGUGACCAGAAUGUCCAGGCCAGCAAGCAGCCUCUGUACUCGGAAAUAGUCCGUUUGCCAGCAGCUGAAGUUCCAGAUGUUACCUCAGUGCAGCAUAAUGUGAAGUUACCAAGGCGCA